This is a long non-coding RNA of Durio zibethinus, 2002 nucleotides long. RefSeq lists it as uncharacterized. NCBI's taxonomy places the organism in Eukaryota, Viridiplantae, Streptophyta, Magnoliopsida, Malvales, Malvaceae. The record is from RefSeq and is a predicted model, not a curated record.
AUAUAUAUGUUCCAACGCUCACACCAUAUAAAACACUGCGUUUGGAGAAUCCAAGUUUUAUCCAAAGCAAUGGCAGUCAUAAUCCAUUGCUCUUGCUUCCUUACCCCACCAUGCUCCCUUCUCUCACCAUCUUUCGCCAAGCCCCAAUUUUCUGGGAAGAUAGCAUCGUUUAUAUUUAAAGUAGGAAACUUUGGAUAAUCCUUUAAAUAUGUUAAUGGACUGGUUGAGAUUCAUCAUCUGUUGCAAGAAAUGGAUAAACAGUCCUUACUCCAUUGCCAAAAACCGGAGAGAGAGCGGGUCUUGGAUCGUGUUUCAUCACCUUAUGAUGAACUUUUACAACAGUUAUCUGCUCUUGAGGUAUGACGACUGUUCUAAUUGAUUGAAGCUGAUGCUGGGACAGCGGCUUUGGAUUAAGAGACCCAGUGACAGCAUUUCUUGCCACCAACGUUUUGAUAUUUACUGCUCCUUUCAAAGCCCUGGCAGAAACGUGUGAAUCUGAUAACUCCUUUUUCAACAUGCCUUUACUGCUAUUUGUAGCCCUUAUUGGAGGUAUCUUCGUAUUUUUUAGUCAUCUUUGGCCCUGGUCCAUAAUACAGCUCUGAGUGAUUUGCAAAUGACAUACAAACAUAAGUCAGCAAUUGAUAUUCCAUUGCUCAAACAAUCUUUUCUUUGCUUGAAGAAAUUGUUACACCUAAAAUACCCAGACUCAGAUUCACGUUAGGAUAGCAUGUAGAAGAGAUUCUAAAUACAUUACUUGCACAGUUAAAGAUAUGUCUCAGUUCACAAAAGCCUAGAAAUACAUAACUGUCUUCAGUCUGAAAUACAAAUUUGUAACUGAGUGAUGGCAACAUCUAAAACUACAAAUUUCGCCUUCUAAACCCUGGAAUUCAUCCUGAACACUGACGCGUCUAUAUAACUUGAGAAAAAAAGCUUGUCUAUAUAACUUAAGAAAAUAAUCUUCCCAUGUCUAUGUAUCUCUGUUUACCCAUCUUGUCUCCAUCUCUGAUUUUGUAAUAUAUGGUUAUGUCUAAGCCAAACCAAGUACAAAAGAGGAAUUAGGAUUAUGAUACCUUAAGGCAUUGCCUUGGAUCCAUGUGCAUAAAGUUUUAAGAUACUCAAAGCAUUGCUUCCAUUGGGAACCAUGUAUUUGGUAAUGAAGAGUCCCAAGUCAUUUAUGAAUAGAGUAGUAGCGGUAAAACAUAAAGGGAGGAAACUGUGAAGCCUUUGAACUUGUACCAACUUUAUGUGAUUGUUAUGUGGUUUUAUUUUUUAUGGAUAACCGUGCAAUCUAUUGAAGCCUAAAACUUUUCAUUUCUAAUUGCUUGGUUCCUAAACCUGGAGUUCAUUUCCCUGUAAGUUAGCAGAAAUUAUAACAGUCUCUAACUUAAGUUAGAUUCAUUCAGGUGCUUCAUUGCAAAGAGAAGCCAUUAAAUACCACUCAAUGGUUUUAGCAAUCUCUGAGCUACAAGGAGAGUCGUCCGGAAAUACAAAAGCUUAUGGAGCAAUUGCGGAUUGCUACACAGAACUUGGAGACCAUGAGAAAGCAGGGAAAUUCUGUGAUAAAUAUUAUUGCUAGGUUGGAAAUAGAAUGAUGAAGCUGCGUAUCCGAUAGUUUAUAUUUCUUCCUUUAAUGUAGUUCCAAAUAGUUGUAGAGAUAGUGGACAGCUUGUGGAUUUCUCCCACUUCAUUAUCGCUGUUGUUUGUCUCAGACUUGCAGAUACUGUGAUUGUGAAUUUAACAAUGAUGUGGUUGGAUCAUAUGUUGUAACUACUGUUUCUUCCAGUUAUCCCAACGUUCAGCGUCCAUGUUUGUUGCAGAUACUCCUAGUUUUGCUCGAAUUUUUUCACUUCUGAUUUUAUUUCUUUUAAUCUUACCACACGUCUAUCUAAACAUUUCCGUUUUAGUUACUCAUUUUCUUCUCAUGUUGUUUCUUAAUAACCCAACACUCAAGUAUCGUAAAACAAUGCAGGUUUUACAAUUAUUUUAUACAACUUCGUCUCUA